GAUGAACGCUGGCGGCGUGCUUAACACAUGCAAGUCGAACGAUGAAGCCCAGCUUGCUGGGUGGAUUAGAGGCGAACGGGUGAGUAACACGUGAGUAACCUGCCCUUAACUCUGGGAUAAGCCUGGGAAACUGGGUCUAAUACCGGAUAGGAGCGUCCACCGCAUGGUGGGUGUUGGAAAGAUUUAUCGGUUUUGGAUGGACUCGCGGCCUAUCAGCUUGUUGGUGAGGUAAUGGCUCACCAAGGCGACGACGGGUAGCCGGCCUGAGAGGGUGACCGGCCACACUGGGACUGAGACACGGCCCAGACUCCUACGGGAGGCAGCAGUGGGGAAUAUUGCACAAUGGGCGCAAGCCUGAUGCAGCGACGCCGCGUGAGGGAUGACGGCCUUCGGGUUGUAAACCUCUUUCAGUAGGGAAGAAGCGAAAGUGACGGUACCUGCAGAAGAAGCACCGGCUAACUACGUG
RNAcentral lists this ribosomal RNA (466 nucleotides) under uncultured bacterium. Its description in RNAcentral is "partial 16S ribosomal RNA". It matches the Rfam family "Bacterial small subunit ribosomal RNA", at positions 28 to 507 of the family's 1533-position model. The record is from RNAcentral.